CCCUUAGAUGUCCUGGGCGGCACACGUGCUACACUGGUCUAGGUAAAAAGUGCCAUAUCCGAGAGGAUUUGGGAAUCUUUGAAACUAGGCCGUGCUUGGGAUAGGCUAUUGUAAUUGUUAGCCUUUAACGAGGAAUUUCUAGUAAGCGCAAGUCAUCAUCUUGCGCUGAAUACGUCCCUGCUCUUUGUACACACCGCCCGUCGCUUAUACCGAUUGGAUGGUCCGGUGAGUUGAUUGGACUUGGCAGCGAUGCUAGGGAAGAUCAGCAAACUUUACCAUCUAGAGGAAUAAGAAGUCGUAACA
This 303-nucleotide ribosomal RNA is filed under the name uncultured eukaryote. Its description in RNAcentral is "partial 18S ribosomal RNA". It matches the Rfam family "Eukaryotic small subunit ribosomal RNA", at positions 1470 to 1796 of the family's 1831-position model. The record is from RNAcentral.